GUGUCAGCAGCCGCGGUAAUACAGAGGGUGCGAGCGUUGUCCGGAAUCACUGGGCGUAAAGGGCGCGUAGGUGGCGGGAUAAGUGUGUGGUGAAAGCUCGGGGCUCAACCCCGAGUCUGCCAUGCAAACUGUCUUGCUCGAGCGUAGUAGAGGCAGGUGGAAUUCCGGGUGUAGCGGUGGAAUGCGUAGAGAUCCGGAAGAACACCGGUGGCGAAGGCGGCCUGCUGGGCUACUGCUGACACUGAUGCGCGACAGCGUGGGGAGCAAACAGGAUUAGAUACCCUGGUAGUCC
Molecule: ribosomal RNA, 292 nt
Filed under: uncultured bacterium
Lineage: Bacteria
Description: partial 16S ribosomal RNA
Rfam family: Bacterial small subunit ribosomal RNA
Source: RNAcentral